Molecule: ribosomal RNA, 339 nt
Filed under: uncultured Pseudomonadota bacterium
Lineage: Bacteria; Pseudomonadati; Pseudomonadota
Description: bacterial SSU rRNA
Rfam family: Bacterial small subunit ribosomal RNA
Source: RNAcentral
AACGAACGCUUGCGGCGUGCCUAACACAUGCAAGUCGAACGAGAAAUCCUGCUUGCAGGGUGAGUAAAGUGGCGCACGGGUGAGUAACACGUGGGUAAUCUGCCCUUGAGACAGGGAUAACAUUCCGAAAGGAGUGCUAAUACCUGAUACGAUGAAAAUAUCAAAAGGUAUUUUCAUGAAAGGUGACCUCUUGCAAAAGUUGCCGCUCAUUGAUGAGCCCGCGUCCCAUUAGCUUGUUGGUGGGGUAAUGGCCUACCAAGGCAAAGAUGGGUAGCUGGUCUGAGAGGACGAUCAGCCACACUGGAACUGAGACACGGUCCAGACACCUACGGGUGGCUG